RNAcentral lists this ribosomal RNA (253 nucleotides) under uncultured bacterium. RNAcentral describes it as "partial 16S ribosomal RNA". It matches the Rfam family "Bacterial small subunit ribosomal RNA", at positions 524 to 776 of the family's 1533-position model. The record is from RNAcentral.
UACAGAGGGUGCGAGCGUUAAUCGGAAUUACUGGGCGUAAAGCGCGCGUAGGCGGCUUUGCAAGUCGGGUGUGAAAUCCCCAGGCUUAACCUGGGAACUGCAUUCGAGACUGCAUUGCUAGAGUAUGGGAGAGGGAAGUGGAAUUUCCGGUGUAGCGGUGAAAUGCGUAGAGAUCCGGAAGAACACCGGUGGCGAAGGCGGUGAGCUGGGCAGUUGCUGACACUGAGGCGCGACAGCGUGGGGAGCAAACAGG